UACAGGGGGGGCAAGCGUUGUUCGGAAUUACUGGGCGUAAAGGGCUCGUAGGCGGCCAACUAAGUCACACGUGAAAUCCCCGGGCUUAACCUGGGAACUGCGUGUGAUACUGGAUGGCUUGAAUUCGGGAGAGGGAUGCAGAAUUCCAGGUGUAGCGGUGAAAUGCGUAGAUAUCUGGAGGAAUACCGGUGGCGAAGGCGGCAUCCUGGACCGACAUUGACGCUGAGGAGCGAAAGCUAGGGGAGCAAACAGG
Molecule: ribosomal RNA, 253 nt
Filed under: uncultured bacterium
Lineage: Bacteria
Description: partial 16S ribosomal RNA
Rfam family: Bacterial small subunit ribosomal RNA
Source: RNAcentral